AGACCCAUUUUCUUCCUUCUCUCCUCCGCUUCUCGCCCUCUCUCCUUUCCUCCUUUCCUUCUUCUGAUUGGCCAAUCAGCUUCUCUCUCUUCUCCCCAUUCGCCCAGCUCUCUCCCUUUUUCUCCCGGAGCUCCUGCUCUCUCUUCCUCUGGUUAGGCAGCUUGCCCAAUCCCUUUUUCUUCUUCUUCACCAGUCACACACACAAAACCUUUCUACAUCUUUUUAUUUUUAUUUUCCUUCACUUACAUCCGAGCCAUCCAUUUCAGAUUUCCUUUCAUCUGGGCCAUCCAAAUUUUAAUAAUAAAAUUCAUAAAAUGCCCAAACUUCAAACUUUAAAAUCUUUUUCGUUAUAACUUCAAAUCACGAACCGUCUGCGUCCACGCUUCCGUAGCGACGAGUACUACGAGGAUAUGUUAAGAAAACAAAUCUUAGAUGGCACGACAUAACAAUUAACCUCGAAUAAUGCGCGUGCCGAAAAAGGCAUUUUUGUAAAAUCCUUUAUUAAAACUUUAAAAACUCUUAAAAUCAGGGACAGGCUGUCACAAUUAUCCCUAUUUCUUUUUCUUUAUUUAAAUAGAACAGAAAUGAUACCUAAUUUGAGUUUUUUUGUAUUCUCCUUUUAUUGAAAUGAGCCAAAUAUAAUUUGAGCGAUCCACUAGUUCUUAAUCUAACAUAAGUACGCUCAGUAAAAAUGUGAAGCAAAGUAAACUUAAUAAUUUGUUAGAAUAAAGAAGGUUAAUAACGUAUAAGAGAUAGCUGAAGACGUAGUUUUUUUAUAUAAAAAAGUGUUAAGUACGGAUUACCUAACGGUAAACAAUAAUUCUAAAUUGGUCUCAACCUUUUAAACAUUCCAAAUAACAACAUAACAUUUUGAAAAUUGGACAUUGAUUAGGUCUCCAACAUUAAUGAUGAUCUAGACAAGUAUUGAAGCAGAGUUCACUCUCAUGUCAUCUAUAGAGUUUUAGAUCCUUAAACCGAUCCUUUUUAACUAGACUUUUAUUGUGUUUAUCUUGCCUAAAAGGGGUCUAUUUGGGAAUUCAAAACUCCAAAAAUGAUGUGUUAGUGAAAAUCAACAUCAAUAUUUGUCAUUGUCAUCACUUAAUUUUAAGGACAUUAUCAAUUCACGGUAAUGACAUCAUUACUUAACGAAUGCGAUCUAAUGAGUGUCAUUUUUUUUAAACGUUAAGUAAUUAUUUGGAAUGUUUUAAAAGGUUGGAACUAAUUUGGAAUCGCCUUAAACACUGGGUUUGGAUGACUAAAUUUAAGAUUACUUAGGAAUUUUGAAAGGCUUUUUAUAUUAGCACCCCACAAAAUGUUGAUUGCACCCCAUAUAAAAUUUAAUAUUAAAUGACUUAUUUACUCCACUAUCCAACGACAAUUUUGACCUUAUUAGGUUUUAAAAAAAAUAAAAAUUUAUAAAUACACCCCAAAUCACUUUUAACGUAUUAUUUAUUUUCUCAACUAUCAAAACCCUCUCAUCUUCCAUUGUUGAAUUAAACUCUAACCAAUGAAACUACAAACAUGUUGAUUGAGAAAAAUUGUUUUUGACGAAUGGAAUACAAAAUCAAUGUUUCUGAAGCUUUACAUGAGAUAAGACUUCACAUUUUUCAUUGUUUUAGUGAUUUCGAUGACAUCAAUAAUUAUUUAAUCUUGCAUUUGCUGCAUUAUUUAAACUUCUAUAUUAUAUUCAUCUUUUAGGGUUCAUAUUAAUCUUGCGUACCCAGUAACAUGAGUCGUAUUAGUGCUAGAGUCAUAUACUACUUUUACAAAUUGACGAUAGCCAUUCUCCACAUGAACUCCUACUCUUAAUCUUUAGCCGUUUGAUUGACAUACGUUUCUCAUCGUGAGUUUUUCUUUCUUUUUUCUUCUUCUUUUCUUGUCACUGGGAGAUGAUCUGUGGAAAAUGAGGAGAGACAUGGCCUAUAUUUAAAGAAAUCUGAGACCGAUUUAGUUUUGAUUUAUUAAUUAACUUCUACACCUGGAUCAUUAGCAAAGAGAGGGUCUUUAUUUAUUUUGUUCAAGACUAAGUCUAAAGACUUGUGAAAUAUAUAUAGAAGCAUUAUCUGUUAGCAUUAACGAGAGAGUCUUUUUUUUUUUUUUUUACUCGGAAAGGCUCAGCACCACGGGUCAUUUUUAAGGCUUUUUAGAAGUUGAAUAAGAUGAUUUCAAACUAUACUAAGAUGAUUUCAAAUCAUCAUUUUGAAAUCAUUCGGUAAACUAAACGUUCAGAUGAUUUGAAAUAUUUCGACAAAUUAAAUGUUCAAAUGGUUAGAUUCAAUCCCUGAAAAUUAAAAAUGAGUGUUAUAAGAUUUGAAAAAUGUGGGGUGUAAAGAAAAUGUGGGGUGUAUGUACAAAAUAUAAGAUGUAUAUUGAGAAUGUGGGGUGUGGGGAUUGUUGGAGAUAUGCCUUGAAAGUCAAUCUUUGGAAGAAACCUUUCAGGACAAUGUCUAUAUGUAUGGAAAACUCUAAUACAUCAAAAGGCAAAGUCACUCAUUAGGACUAUCUCAAUAAAUGAUAUACGUCCUAAAGAGUGAACAAUGGAUCGAUGGAAGAAGUAAUCUAAUGAUGUUAGACUGUAGAGACCUUCUUCACAUAACCAUGAUGUCCAAAAAGGUUCCUGGUCAUAGGAUUGUCGGAAGGACACUGACAAUACAUAGACCAGUACAUACUAUGUCCCCUUCCAAUGGGAAGGAUGGAAAGUUUCAUGCCAUUCGUGUAGUGACACUAAGACAAGUAUGUAGGUGCUCAUUAUGGGAAUGAGUUCACUGAAAACAAUCAAACGAGAGUACUUGCAUGGAGGUCUACUCACAUGUCAAGCAAGUAAUUCUACUGGUUGGAAUAAUGUAAAUAAUCCUUUGACCUGAGACAUCAUAGUUGUCUUGGGGAUACGUUGCUGAUCAUUUGAUAAUGAGACGUGACCACAUCUCAUCUUGGAUGUGUUCUAUGCAUUGUUGGGGUCAGUGAUUUAUUCUCAAAGGCAUGUGAAUGAUCAACAAGGGAUCUCUAAUCCUCGUUAUGAGAGGAUGAAUACUCUAAGAUAUGAUUCAGGAAUCUUCGGCCGAAGUAUCGAGCGCAAUGAUGGAAAGCGUUCCUAUACGACUCAAUAGAAUCAUAUAACUUGAUAUAAUCACAUUAAGGGUUUGACAUUAAAUAUCCAUACGCUAGUAAUGUGAUUGUGAGUAUUGUAUUAGAGAAGGAUCGAAUUACAUUGUAAUUCCAACUGAAUAGGUUCUCCGAACAAAUUCUACAUUAGCUUGGGUAGCCAUGAUAUAUGGUUAGAUGUCACUCGUGGCUUGUGAGUUCUUCUAGAUGAUUAAAUAAGUAUCCAUCAAAGAAGAAGGAGAAUUAAAAGUAUGUUUUAAUUCACUAAGUGAUUGGAUAAAUAAUAAUCAAUUGGAUUGAUACCAAUCACCUCACUACCUUGCUAAUUAGAACCUAAAAUGAUUAUACACCGAAACACUCUUGUGGUGAGACAACUAAAGGAUGAUGGAAUUAAUUAAUUGGAUUAACUAAGUGUUAUGAUUAAUUAGAAAGUCUAAAGAAAUCAUAUAAACAAUAAAAGAUCGUUUAGGACUUAAAGAAAAGUUCGGGUUCAUUCGGGCCCAUUGGGCCCAAACGAAUUGGGUCCUUUUAUUCAAGCAUAGAAUGACUUGAGAUGAUGAAAGCCCGAAGUCCAAACCCACACUAAGGGGGCCGGCCAAUACAAGUGAAAGGAGAGAGAGGGAGUCAUGUGGUUGACUCACUUCUUUGACAUUUAUAAAGGAAGUUUAGUGAAAAAGUUUCAUUAGGGUUUUUGUGUGUUCUUUUUCACAAAAGAGAAAAACAAGUCUCUCUCUCUACACACAAAUAGCCAGCCACCAAAGGGGAUUUUAGCUAAUCAUCUUCUCUCCCUUUGGUUAUUCCAUUAUCCAUCUCACUACACUGGUGGGUGUGGAUCUUUAGAGGUCUUCUACUUUGGAGACUAAAGGAGAAAGGAGCUCUAAAUCUUUCAAGAUGGAGGAAGCUAGGAGGGAGGCUCGACUCAAGGAGUUCCAAGAACAAAGAGCUUGGAGGUGGUCCAUCCUUGGUCUCAAGUCUAGAUCAAGAGGUAUAAAACUAUACAUUCACUUUGUUCUUCAAUAUUUUCUUAGAUGCAUCAUAUAUGAACCUAUGCUUCUUGAAGGGGAUUUGCAUGACUAUAGCUUUGAUAUUAUGUGAUAACAUGCUUCCGUUGCAAAUGUAUAUAAAUUUUGAAUUGUAUAUGCAUGCUAGUCACUAGAAAUCCCACAUAAAUCUCAUUAUUUCCCUUCAGGGGUAUUAUGGGAAAGUAUGUGGGGUGUAUUAAGAUAAUUUUUAAGUGAAAAAAUAAAUAUGGGGUGUAUUAAGUAUGUGGGGUUUAUUCAACAAUCUGUGAGGUGUUUGUUAAUAUAAUUAGCCUUUUAAAAUGAUAGAAAUUCAAAUGGCGAAAGGAACAAUGAAAUUUAAAUACGAAAUUUAAUGUAUACGUAGAAUCCUUAAAAUAAAUGAGAGAUUGUAUUUAGGAGAUGUGCUAGUAAUGACGGUGGUAAUGGUAUGUGAUGGUGGCAUUGCAAGUUGCACCUAACUCUAGCUAAAGUGAACCAUGUUAAUGUCGAAUUAUAUAUAUUGUAUAGGAUGUAUAAUGGUAAACACAAUAAAUUUUUUAACGAUUAUAUGAUAUUGAUACAAAAUCUUAAGAUGUUGUAUGAAAUUAAAAAACAUUAAAAGACGUAUGUGAAUUUAAAGUGGAGUGAAAUGUAAAAGGAUAAAAUAUAAUUUACCGUAAAACAAAACUAUGAAAAACAAGCAUUGUGGGUGUGAAAAGAGCAAAAGCACCAUCUGCAAGAAUUGGUGAACUACUCACUGACCAUUUGACCAUAAUUGAAUUAUUUUUGGAAGGUUUUGCGACUUUUAUUGACCAACAUAUUAAAUAAACAAAGGUUACGUUCACUUUUAUCACGUUGUUAGAACUUAGAUGAGAGCAUAGCAAGACCCCCAAAUAAGUUGAAAUACGAGUCCAACA
This 5020-nucleotide long non-coding RNA is filed under the name Malus domestica (apple). RNAcentral's name for it is "long non-coding RNA (MDOM_LNC006055)". Lineage: Eukaryota; Viridiplantae; Streptophyta; Magnoliopsida; Rosales; Rosaceae. The record is from RNAcentral.